This 200-nucleotide ribosomal RNA is filed under the name uncultured bacterium. RNAcentral's name for it is "partial 16S ribosomal RNA". It matches the Rfam family "Bacterial small subunit ribosomal RNA", at positions 8 to 222 of the family's 1533-position model. The record is from RNAcentral.
AGAGUUUGAUCCUGGCUCAGGACGAACGCUGGCGGCGUGCCUAACACAUGCAAGUCGAACGAGAAAGUGGAGCAAUCCAUGAGUAAAGUGGCGACCGGGUGAGUAACACGUGACUAACCUACCUCCGAGUGGGGAAUAACUCCGGGAACCGGGGCGUAAUACCGCAUAACAUCGCAAGAUCAAAGCAGCAAUGCGCUUGG